Molecule: non-coding RNA, 380 nt
Organism: Cinara cedri
Lineage: Eukaryota; Metazoa; Arthropoda; Insecta; Hemiptera; Aphididae
Source: the annotation of a GenBank genome assembly
GGAGUGUUCGACCCACUGUUCUAGGAAACAUUCGGCCCGAAAAACUGAGGCCCGGUCAAGGCUGCGACUGAAAAAAAAAUGUUCAAUGGGGGGUCCGACGUUUUUUCCUCAUAGCUCGAAUGGCCUUUGCUUAAGGUUUUGCUUAAAACAAUAAAACCGUCUAUUUUAAAAUUGAAUAAUAUACAUACGGGGUCCAGACCCAUAGAGCGUUCCCUCUCCCCUCAAAUGUGAUUUCGGGUCCGGACAACGCCGUUGUUAAAAUAUUCACCGGGAGAUAAUUGAUUUGUUCUGCUGCACAUUUUUCCAAACGCUUUGGAAAUAAUAAACAUUUUUGGUUUUUAAAUAAGCCGUCGUGUUGGACCUUUAUUGAAACGGGGUGU